GACGAACGCUGGCGGCGUGCUUAACACAUGCGAGUCGAACGGAAAGGCCCUGCUUUUGUGGGGUGCUCGAGUGGCGAACGGGUGAGUAACACGUGAGUAACCUGCCCUUGACUUUGGGAUAACUUCAGGAAACUGGGGCUAAUACCGGAUAGGAUCUCCUGCUGCAUGGUGGGGGUUGGAAAGUUUCGGCGGUUGGGGAUGGACUCGCGGCUUAUCAGCUUGUUGGUGGGGUAGUGGCUUACCAAGGCUUUGACGGGUAGCCGGCCUGAGAGGGUGACCGGCCACAUUGGGACUGAGAUACGGAGCAGACUCCUACGGGAGGCAGCAGUGGGGAAUAUUGCACAAUGGGCGGAAGCCUGAUGCAGCAACGCCGCGUGCGGGAUGACGGCCUUCGGGUUGUAAACCGCUUUCGCCUGUGACGAAGCGUGAGUGACGGUAAUGGGUAAAGAAGCACCGGCUAACUACGUG
RNAcentral lists this ribosomal RNA (468 nucleotides) under uncultured bacterium. Its description in RNAcentral is "partial 16S ribosomal RNA". It matches the Rfam family "Bacterial small subunit ribosomal RNA", at positions 28 to 507 of the family's 1533-position model. The record is from RNAcentral.